Long non-coding RNA from Pollicipes pollicipes, 503 nucleotides. RefSeq lists it as uncharacterized. The transcript has 3 exons. The record is from RefSeq and is a predicted model, not a curated record. Lineage: Eukaryota; Metazoa; Arthropoda; Thecostraca; Pollicipedomorpha; Pollicipedidae.
AUCUGGCAGUCGGCGGCGCGUCUCUUUAUCAGGAAGCCAUUGAGAAGAAACUUGUGGACAAGCUGUAUCUCACAAAAAUCAGAAAAGAGUAUGACGCAGACGUCUUCUUUCCGAAGUACAACGAAGAAGAUUUCGUGGAAAUCAGUGACCCCCACGUUCCGGAGGGUGUGCUGGAGGAGGACGGCGUGGAGUGGACCCACCAUGUGCUUCAGAUGAAGUAGUCGCCUGACGCGGAUCGACGCUGGCAGUCCGCGGCUGAGAAAUGAACAAGUUAUUGGUGCACGGUUUUGUACUUGACAGCUUUUUCCACAUAUCCGUAGAGCUCGUCGAAGUGGUUUGUGUCCAGUGCAUUCUGGUACUUGGUCGUUUUUUCACAUAUCCGUAGAGCUCGUCAAGGUGUUUUGUGUCCGAUGCAUUCCGGUACUUGGUCAUGGUAUUUCAGGUAAGCGUAGGUGCUGAAGGGACCGGCUCUGAGUUCCGCACUGAAGCUGAAUGAAUAAAGU